UUUAUUGAAUCUCUUUCAAAUGCUUUUAUAGUAAUAGUGUUGGCUUGCCAACUACGACGAUAAACGAAUUUCGUAAUAACCAUUACGGACGUGGGGGCAGUACCCACCACCUCCACCAUUUACAACUUAUGGGGGUGAAAUAGGAUCGACGGGUGACUAAAGGCUAUUCUUUCGUUCGGGAUUGUUCCACCGUAACGGGCUAAACUUUAAAUGCUGACGAAAGUUACGCACUUGCUGCAUAAUUAACUUAGGUUAAUUAUAGAAGCACGGUCUGGGGCACCGGGUAACAGAACGCCCCUUACU
Molecule: transfer-messenger RNA, 303 nt
Filed under: Candidatus Pelagibacter communis
Lineage: Bacteria; Pseudomonadati; Pseudomonadota; Alphaproteobacteria; Candidatus Pelagibacterales; Candidatus Pelagibacteraceae
Rfam family: Alphaproteobacteria transfer-messenger RNA
About the family: Bacterial tmRNA, also known as 10Sa RNA or SsrA, is named for its dual tRNA and mRNA-like properties. Its role is to liberate the mRNA from a stalled ribosome.
Source: RNAcentral